AUAUGACCAACCUGAAAUCUCUAAAGAAAAAUAAUCACAAUUUCAACAAUUAUUGUGAAACGAUAAGUCUGUAUCGCAAACAUUUUCAUGUAACUUUAUUACAGCAAAAUAAAGAGAAAAAUUUGGACAGGUCAUUAUUAUAGAUUAUCGUGAUAGUAUUUGACU
Molecule: long non-coding RNA, 165 nt
Organism: Sphaeramia orbicularis (orbiculate cardinalfish)
Lineage: Eukaryota; Metazoa; Chordata; Actinopteri; Kurtiformes; Apogonidae
Exons: 3
Source: RefSeq, a predicted model, not a curated record